This 497-nucleotide ribosomal RNA is filed under the name uncultured bacterium. RNAcentral's name for it is "partial 16S ribosomal RNA". It matches the Rfam family "Bacterial small subunit ribosomal RNA", at positions 28 to 507 of the family's 1533-position model. The record is from RNAcentral.
GAUGAACGCUGGCGGCGUGCCUAAUACAUGCAAGUCGAGCGAACAGAUGAGGAGCUUGCUCCUCUGACGUUAGCGGCGGACGGGUGAGUAACACGUGGAUAACCUACCUAUAAGACUGGGAUAACUUCGGGAAACCGGAGCUACUACCGGAUAAUAUAUUGAACCGCAUGGUUCAAUAGUGAAAGACGGUUUUGCUGUCACUUAUAGAUGGAUCCGCGCCGCAUUAGCUAGUUGGUAAGGUAACGGCUUACCAAGGCAACGAUGCGUAGCCGACCUGAGAGGGUGAUCGGCCACACUGGAACUGAGACACGGUCCAGACUCCUACGGGAGGCAGCAGUAGGGAAUCUUCCGCAAAGGGCGAAAGCCUGACGGAGCAACGCCGCGUGAGUGAUGAAGGUCUUCUGAUCGUAAAACUCUGUUAUUAGGGAAGAACAAAUGUGUAAGUAACUAUGCACGUCUUGACGGUACCUAAUCAGAAAGCCACGGCUAACUACGUG